AAAGUAAAUCAAUUAUUCUAUUACAUGAACAGUAAAAAUUAUAGAGACAAUAAUGUUUUAUCAAAUAUAUAUUGAAUGUCCAAAGAUAACGUGUAUAUUUAAUAUAUUAUUUGUCUAAUCAAAUUUAAAGGCAUUUAAUUUAGGAAAAUAUAUUAUAGUAUCUACCCAAAUAAGAACUAUACUAUACUUUAAUUGUUUAACUUGUCUGAAUCUAUUUUAGUUUGACUAUGUAUAUAUUAUUUUGCAGCUAUUACUCCUCAUUUGCUAGCUUCAUCUAUUAUUGCAUUCGAUGGGCUAAACUUCUCUGAAUGGUGUAAGCAAGUCAAGUUUCAUUUAAGUGACUUGGAACUUGACUUAGCUUUAUUGGAAAACAAACCUGCUGCUAUUAUAGAUACAAGCAGUGAAUAAGAGAAAUUGUACCAUAAGCAAUGGAAAUAGUCAAAUAGAUUAAGCCUAAUGUUUCUGUGAAUUACUGUUGUUAUUAAGACAAUAAUUCCACAAACUAAAAUGCGAAAAAACACCUUAAUUUGGUGGAAGAAUGAUUUCGUUCUACAAACAAGUCACUCACUGGUACUUUAAUGGCACAACUCACGACCAUGAAGUAUAAUGGGUCGAAGAGUAUGCACAAGCACAUUACAGGAUUGAGUGACAUUGUAGCAAGGCUAAAGACUUUAAGAAUAGAGGUGGAUGAUUCCCUCUUGGUGCAUUUCAUUCUAAACUCGCUACCUCCUAAAUAUGGGCCAUUUCAAAUCAAUUACAACAUUAUUAAGGAUAAGUGGAAUGUUACUAAAUUAGCUAGUAAGCUAAUUUUGGAGAAAAUGAGACUAAAGAAUCAAGAGACUCAUUCUGUCAAUAUUGUGGAUCAAGUAGUUGUUAAAGGACUUAAACCAAAGGCUAACAAGUUUAAGAAGAAAUAAAAAGGAUGUUCAGAUAGUUCUCAAGCUGAGAAAAAUGAUCAAAUGGCAUAUAAGUGUUGCUUCUAUAAGAAAGUAAGAUAUGAUUAGAAAGAUUGCUUGAAAUGUAAAGCUUGUUUCGAAAAGAAAGGUAUUUCUUAUGCUUAUGUAUGUUUCGAAUUAAACUUAAUUGAAGUUCCCAAUAAUACUUGAUAGCUUAAUCAGGGAUUUCUUAUGAUCUAAAUCACAAACCCAACUAAAGAUUUCCUAUUUAUGGGGAACCGAAUGAAAGCUCAAAUUGAAGACAUAAGAACUGACCGUUUGAUCUUGGGUAAUGGUUACCACUUAGAUUUUUUACAAACUAUCUAUACACCUUCAGUUUCUAAUAAUGUUAACUAUUUCAAAACUCGAUAAAUCUAAUUUUAAUGUUAAGUUUGGAUAUGGAUGUUUCAGUUUAUUUAAUAAUAAUAAUAAUAAAUAUUCCAUUAUUGAUUCUGCGAUUCUUACUGAUGUUUUGUAUAAGCUAAAACUUAAUGAUAAUUUUGUUGAAUCCUUACUUAUCACUUAUAGCAAUGUUGGGAUUAAGCGUAGUAGACUGAAUGA
This 1496-nucleotide unclassified non-coding RNA is filed under the name Hevea brasiliensis (rubber tree). Lineage: Eukaryota; Viridiplantae; Streptophyta; Magnoliopsida; Malpighiales; Euphorbiaceae. The record is from RNAcentral.